Molecule: ribosomal RNA, 468 nt
Filed under: uncultured bacterium
Lineage: Bacteria
Description: partial 16S ribosomal RNA
Rfam family: Bacterial small subunit ribosomal RNA
Source: RNAcentral
GACGAACGCUGGCGGCGUGCUUAACACAUGCAAGUCGAACGGAAAGGCCCUGCUUUUGUGGGGUGCUCGAGUGGCGAACGGGUGAGUAACACGUGAGUAACCUGCCCUUGACUUUGGGAUAACUUCAGGAAACUGGGGCUAAUACCGGAUAGGAGCUCCUGCUGCAUGGUGUGGGUUGGAAAGUUUCGGCGGUUGGGGAUGGACUCGCGGCUUAUCAGCUUGUUGGUGGGGUAGUGGCUUACCAAGGCUUUGACGGGUAGCCGGCCUGAGAGGGUGACCGGGAACAUUGGGACUGAGAUAGGGCCCAGACGGGUACGGGAGGCAGCAGUGGGGAAUAUUGCAGAAUGGGCGGAAGCGUGAUGCAGCAACGCCGCGUGCGGGAUGACGGCCUUCGGGUUGUAAACCGCUUUCGCAUGUGACGAAGCGUGAGUGACGGUAAUGGGUAAAGAAGCACCGGCUAACUACGUG